This 465-nucleotide ribosomal RNA is filed under the name uncultured Klebsiella sp. RNAcentral's name for it is "bacterial SSU rRNA". It matches the Rfam family "Bacterial small subunit ribosomal RNA", at positions 338 to 795 of the family's 1533-position model. Lineage: Bacteria; Pseudomonadati; Pseudomonadota; Gammaproteobacteria; Enterobacterales; Enterobacteriaceae. The record is from RNAcentral.
CCUACGGGAGGCAGCAGUGGGGAAUAUUGCACAAUGGGCGCAAGCCUGAUGCAGCCAUGCCGCGUGUGUGAAGAAGGCCUUCGGGUUGUAAAGCACUUUCAGCGGGGAGGAAGGCGUUAAGGUUAAUAACCUUGUCGAUUGACGUUACCCGCAGAAGAAGCACCGGCUAACUCCGUGCCAGCAGCCGCGGUAAUACGGAGGGUGCAAGCGUUAAUCGGAAUUACUGGGCGUAAAGCGCACGCAGGCGGUCUGUCAAGUCGGAUGUGAAAUCCCCGGGCUCAACCUGGGAACUGCAUUCGAAACUAGCAGGCUAGAGUCUUGUAGAGGGGGGUAGAAUUCCAGGUGUAGCGGUGAAAUGCGUAGAGAUCUGGAGGAAUACCGGUGGCGAAGGCGGCCCCCUGGACAAAGACUGACGCUCAGGUGCGAAAGCGUGGGGAGCAAACAGGAUUAGAUACCCCAGUAGUC